AACGCUGGCGGCAUGCUUUACACAUGCAAGUCGAACGGCAGCACGGGUGCUUGCACCUGGUGGCGAGUGGCGGACGGGUGAGUAAUGCAUCGGAACGUGUCCUGAAGUGGGGGAUAACGCAUCGAAAGAUGUGCUAAUACCGCAUAUUCUCUGAGGAGGAAAGUAGGGGAUCGAAAGACCUUAUGCUUUUGGAGCGGCCGAUGUCUGAUUAGCUAGUUGGUAGGGUAAUGGCCUACCAAGGCGACGAUCGGUAGCUGGUCUGAGAGGAUGAUCAGCCACACUGGGACUGAGACACGGCCCAGACUCCUACGGGAGGCAGCAGUGGGGAAUAUUGGACAAUGGGCGCAAGCCUGAUCCAGCAAUGCCGCGUGUGUGAAGAAGGCCUGCGGGUUGUAAAGCACUUUUGUUCGGGAAGAAAUCAUGUCGGUUAAUACCCGAUGUGGAUGACGGUACCGAAAGAAUAAGCACCGGCUAACUUCGUG
Molecule: ribosomal RNA, 482 nt
Filed under: uncultured bacterium
Lineage: Bacteria
Description: bacterial SSU rRNA
Rfam family: Bacterial small subunit ribosomal RNA
Source: RNAcentral